GACGAACGCUGGCGGCGUGCUUAACACAUGCAAGUCGAACGGUAAGGCCCUUUCGGGGGUACACGAGUGGCGAACGGGUGAGUAACACGUGGGUGAUCUGCCCUGCACUUUGGGAUAAGCCUGGGAAACUGGGUCUAAUACCGGAUAGGACUACGCGAUGCAUGUCGUGUGGUGGCAAGCUUUUGGGGUGUGGGAUGGGCGCGCGGCCUAUCAGCUUGUUGGUGGGGUGAUGGCCUACCAAGGCGACGACGGGUAGCCGGCCUGGGAGGGUGUCCGGCCACACUGGGACUGAGAUACGGCCCAGACUCCUACGGGAGGCAGCAGUGGGGAAUAUUGCACAAUGGGCGCAAGCCUGAUGCAGCGACGCCGCGUGGGGGAUGACGGCAUUCGGGUUGUAAACCCCUUUCAGCACAGACGAAGCGUAAGUGACGGUAUGUGCAGAAGAAGCACCGGCCAACUACGUG
This 464-nucleotide ribosomal RNA is filed under the name uncultured bacterium. RNAcentral's name for it is "partial 16S ribosomal RNA". It matches the Rfam family "Bacterial small subunit ribosomal RNA", at positions 28 to 507 of the family's 1533-position model. The record is from RNAcentral.